Mauremys reevesii (Reeves's turtle) is the source of this 1867-nucleotide long non-coding RNA. RefSeq lists it as uncharacterized. NCBI's taxonomy places the organism in Eukaryota, Metazoa, Chordata, Testudines, Geoemydidae. The transcript is spliced from 4 exons. The record is from RefSeq and is a predicted model, not a curated record.
CUGGAGGGGAAAAGGAGAUAGGUUCUUGCAGUGGGUGCUGAAGCAGGGCACCAGGAAGGAGUAUUCUUUGUUCAGCAGUGAGAAAGGCAAAAGGGAAAGUCUUUGGCAGCUGUGUCCUCUGGUCACAAUGGAGCAUUGCGGCCUUUAAAGCAUGAUUAAAUGAUACAGCUUCAGGGCAUCUGUCAGAAGACUAUACUUUAAAAGGAAGCUGGGCGCACGUUAACUAUUCAAGAUUCCGAGGGGAAAUUACGACUCUUUGAGGUGUAUUGCAUUCAAGACAAAGGCUUUGCAGAUAGAAGAAUCAGCCUUCCCCUCCCUGCAGGUGUGUAACAGUGGCAUCACAAUAAUGCAACACACUGAGCUAAGCGAUGGCUCUGAGAUCCAGUGGAAAACGGUGAUGGCUAAAAGCAGCUGUAAAAACUGAGUGCAGAUGGAUGGACGCAUUGUGCCCAAAUACUGUAUAAUGUGCCUUGUUCUGCUGUCACUUAAAACCAUUUUACGCUGCUCUAUUUCCACUUACUUCAGUGGAAUCACUCCAUAUUUAGGUAAACCGUGUAAACCAGUGAGAGCGGAUCCAAGUCCAAUGUGUCUAGGAGCACUGAGGGUGGUUCACUCAACAGCGAUACCUGCUACACCUGCCUCCAAAACGUGUCAUGUUUGCUCCUUGGUGAUGCCUGUGGGUGUCUGGGGAGAAGUGUCUGGCCAGAGCCCCACCUCCCGCCCACCCAGACUCAACCCCUUUGGGCUAUGCAGUGCUGCCGGUAGUGCUAGCAGGCCUUGCUCUUCCACUCGGAGCACAAAGAGCCCCGUUAUGGUUGCCUCUUGUGUCAGGGCACUGUUGGAAAGGGACUACUAGCACCCUCUCUUUCCACCCACCAGCAUGGAAAGCCACAAGUUAGCCUUAUGUUUGCCACCUGUUUAUUGAGCAUGCAAAGAACACACAAGACAUCUAACAUAUGCAGAAGAACAACUUCAGUCGAAAAGACGCUUAGCACAGCUCCCACUGAGUUGGCUAAGAGGGAAGCUUUUUAUUAUUGUUAUUAUUUAUUUACUGCAGAUGGACUUCCCAAGAGUUUCACAAACAUUUAACCUACAGGCCAGAUUUGGUGGGUGGACUGGGGAUACAUGGGAGGGGUGAGUAGUGAGGGGGAGCUCAACUAUAUUGAUUACAUCCACUCUCGUGCACUGUUGCCAACUCUCUCGAUUUCAUUGUGUCUCUCUCAGUGUAUUAUAUUCCAAAAAGCCUCAGCUCAAGUCUGGUGAUUACAGGAGAAUCUCAGCUUUCAUUACACACAAAAAAAGCCAAUUUCUAGCCCUCACAGCUGUAGAGAAAUCUUGGAAACGUGAUGCAAGUAUGAUCUAAAGGCUUAGAAAACAGAAGAUAAAUAAAAAGGACCCCAAAUGCAUUACUCUCAUGAUUUUUAAGCUAAUCUUGUGAUAUGUUUUGGAGGAAUGACACAAUUUUUGAAAGUUUGGGGUUGACCUCACUGCUGUGUCCAGCCAUUAGUUGACAUGCACAACAGUAUGAAUGCUAUGCUCCCCUCUUUUCCACAGAAGAGGAGCAGAGGGGUGAAAAGAGGUACCAUAGUAAGUCAUUAUUCCCUGCAAAUUAAUUUAACAGCAAAUCCUAUCUUCUUGAAUAGGGUUGGGUUAAUAAAAAAUGGGAGACUCGCAUACUUUCUGUUUUAGCUUCCUUUCCACUAUUAAUAGGCCCGAAUAAAGAAUGAAUCCUUUCCAUUUGCUUAAAAAGUUUCAAAUGUCAGAAGUGAAUUUUAGCACAGGCAGUGUGAUGUGUGUAAAUUAUCCCCAAAUCCAGUGUCCCUUAAUACAGUUGUCAGACAAGUACAUUGUAGGCAAAUUGCAAAAA